GAUUGGGGCUAGCAUGAUGAUUCUGUGUGU
RNAcentral lists this non-coding RNA (30 nucleotides) under Homo sapiens (human). Lineage: Eukaryota; Metazoa; Chordata; Mammalia; Primates; Hominidae. The record is from RNAcentral.